This 491-nucleotide ribosomal RNA is filed under the name uncultured bacterium. RNAcentral's name for it is "partial 16S ribosomal RNA". It matches the Rfam family "Bacterial small subunit ribosomal RNA", at positions 29 to 507 of the family's 1533-position model. The record is from RNAcentral.
UUGCACGCUGGCGGCAUGCUUUACACAUGCCAGUCGAACGGUAACAGGCCUUCGGGUGCUGACGAGUGGCGAACGGGUGAGUAAUGCAUCGGAACGUACCCAGAGGUGGGGGAUAACGCAGCGAAAGCUGUGCUAAUACCGCAUGUGAUCUGAGGAUGAAAGCGGGGGACCGAGCAGCAAUGUUUGGCCUCGCGCCUUUGGAGCGGCCGAUGUCGGAUUAGCUAGUUGGUGGGGUAAAGGCCUACCAAGGUGACGAUCCGUAGCUGGUCUGAGAGGACGACCAGCCACACUGGGACAGAGACACGGCCCAGACUCCUACGGGAGGCAGCAGUGGGGAAUUUUGGACAAUGGGCGCAAGCCUGAUCCAGCAAUGCCGCGUGCGGGAAGAAGGCCUUCGGGUUGUAAACCGCUUUUGGCAGGAACGAAACGGUGUCCGCUAAUACCGGGCGCUAAUGACGGUACCUGCAGAAUAAGCACCGGCUAACUACGUG